This is a long non-coding RNA of Dicentrarchus labrax (European seabass), 267 nucleotides long. RefSeq lists it as uncharacterized. The record is from RefSeq and is a predicted model, not a curated record. Lineage: Eukaryota; Metazoa; Chordata; Actinopteri; Moronidae. The transcript is spliced from 3 exons.
AAUAGUUAUUGAGGGGUGGAUUGAUUCAGACAGAGCAAUACUGAAGGCCUAGGUGUGAAAUGUACAGCCCGCCACUGGGUUCUGUACCUGUUGUUAUCUGGUUCUGUGGUUCUGUACCUGUUGUUAUCUGGUUCUGUACCUGUUGUUAUCUGGUUCUGAGGUUCUGUACCUGUUGUUAUCUGGUUCUGUACCUGUUGUUAUCUGGUUCUGAGGUUCUGUACCUGUGGUUACUGGUUCUGUACCUGUUGUUAUCUGGUUCUGUACCUG